RNAcentral lists this ribosomal RNA (387 nucleotides) under Triticum aestivum (bread wheat). RNAcentral's name for it is "partial small subunit ribosomal RNA". The record is from RNAcentral. Lineage: Eukaryota; Viridiplantae; Streptophyta; Magnoliopsida; Poales; Poaceae.
AUGAAGAAGAUCAACCUGGAGUUCUUCUAUGAUUAUGACGUUGAUGCAAAUAUACGUGUAAGAAAUGUCUUCUGGGCCAACGAAAGUUGCAAAGGAUCGUAUGAACAUUUCAGAAACUUCAUGACAUUCGACACGACAUAUAAAAUGAAUAAGUUCCACAUGCUGUUGGGAGUAUUUGUCGGAGUGAACCCUCAUCUCCAAAGCACGACCUUUGUUGCCGCCCUUAUGCGAGAUGAAACGAUCCCGUUGUUCGAAUGGGUUUUCAAAACAUUCUUGAGGUGCAUGAACUAUAAGCCGCCAAUCUGCAUGUUCACAGGUACAAUACAACACCUGUAUACCUACAUUUGUUUGGUCCACUUCUAUUUCUUCCGUCUUUCUUGCACAUAG